RNAcentral lists this ribosomal RNA (1086 nucleotides) under Triticum aestivum (bread wheat). RNAcentral's name for it is "partial small subunit ribosomal RNA". Lineage: Eukaryota; Viridiplantae; Streptophyta; Magnoliopsida; Poales; Poaceae. The record is from RNAcentral.
AUGGGUGGUGUUCGGCAGCAGCUCAUGGCCGCCGUCCUCGUGGCGGUGGCGCUGAUGGCCACGGCGGCGGAGGGGUACAUCACUCAGAAGACGUGGGGCGCCAUCCGCCGGGCGAACCGCGCCGGGCCGUUCGUCGGCCUCGUCGUGCCCAACACAUACGAGAUGGUCCCCGUGCUCGAGUCGCCCAGCUUCGUGGCCAGCAAGAGCAUCCCUAACAUGGACAUCCAAGGGCGAAGGUUUCGCUUCGGAACCAUCGAAGGCCAAAGCGUCGUCAUGGUCAUGACUGGACUGAGCAUGCUCAACGCUGGUCUGACCACCCAGAUGCUGCUGAGCCUGUUCCGGGUGAAGGGCAUCGUCCACUGGGGCAUCGCUGGCAACGCCAACGAGGACCUCCAGAUCGGCGACGUCACCAUCCCCGAAUACUGGGCCCACGUCUCCCUCUGGAACUGGCAGCGGUUCGGCGACGGCAAGGAUAACGAGCUGUCACUGGAGGCCGCCGGCGACUACACCCGGGAGUACGGCUUCCUCAACUUCUCCGACUACACCGUGGGGCAGAGCAACCCGGCGCUAUCAGCCAACCAGCUCAACAGCAUCUGGUACCAGCCGGAGGAGAUCUUCCCCAAGUCCGGCGAGCCGGAGGAGCGGCAGCACGCGUUCUGGGUGCCCGCCAGCAAGCGGUACUACGAGCUGGCGAAGAAGCUGGAGGGCAUGGAGCUGCCGGCGUGCGUGAACGCGACGACGUGCCUGCCCCGCGCGCCGCGGGUCACCCGGGUCAGCAAGGGCUGCAGCGCCAACGUGUUCCUGGACAACGCCGAGUACCGCCAGUUCCUCCGCAAGCAGUUCGGGUGCACCCCCGUGGAGAUGGAGAGCGCCGCCGUGGCCCUCGUGGCGCACACGCAGGGGGUGCCGUUCCUCACCAUCCGCUCGCUCUCCGACCUGGCCGGGGGAGGCUCCGCGCUCGGGAACGAGGCCAGCACCUUCCUCGACAUCGCCGCGCAGAACGCCGUCACCGUCAUGCUCAAGUUCGUGCCGCUGCUCGGCAAGAGCGGCAGCGAGAUGGACGACGGCGCGGCCGCUGACAUGUGA